Non-coding RNA from Taeniopygia guttata (zebra finch), 13742 nucleotides. Lineage: Eukaryota; Metazoa; Chordata; Aves; Passeriformes; Estrildidae. The record is from RefSeq and is a predicted model, not a curated record.
ACACAGAGGCAUGUAUUUCCCUCUGUUUUUCUAAUCUUUAUGUGUCCCUUGUAGAACUCUGUGAUUUGUGCUAAAAACAGUGCUGAGAAAUAAGAUGAAGUGACAUGAACACUGGUUUGAAAUGCUGGAUAUCUGAAACCCUGCCUUGUUCUGACUGAGACCUUUGUAUGACAGCACAAUUAUUUCACUCUUUAUGCCUGCACUCUUCCCGUCACUCUUCCAGUCUUAGAGAAGUGUGGGGAUAAAGUCAACAAAGGUCGAGAUGCUGCAGUAAGAGAGGCUGCAGCACAGAUCAGUAGAUAAAAUCUCAAAAAGCCUCACUAUGGUCAGAGAGACACAUCCAGUAACACCUCUGUGAACUAGCACAAAUGGAAAAACGCAGCAGCCUGCAAACUGCUCGGCUACUGCACUGCUGUGUGAAGGAGGGGUUGUGUGUGUUUGGACUUCUGAGCACAGUGGGGUCUCUCUCCUCCGGUUACAGUGAGCACAGAGACAGCAGGGAUCCAUACCAUGAUCUUUCUACAAGGCUGCACAGGAGCAAAGGGAACGUGCAGGACACAUAUAUUCAGGCUGGUUCAGCCUAUAGAUCUAAGAAUUCUGGAAAGACAGGAUAAAGUCUAAUGGGGCUGGUUUAUAUAAAUGCCAUUCUGACUAAAGCAGGGAGCAUAAUUAUAAGAAAUUACAACUUGUUUCAUCCUGCAACACUCACCUGCCAGUGAUGACAUGUUUGUAGGGAAGGCUUUGUGAUAAGAAAUCAAACCAGCAAGAUUCAAAGAGAACCAGAUGCCUUUGUAAAGGCAUGAAGGCAAUUGGGUCAUUAAAACAUGCUACAGGCUGUUUUGGCAUAUGGCGAAGGCCACGAUAGCACUCAUGUAAUACUUGUAUUAAAUCUUCUUGCACCAAAGGGCUCUUUGGUGCAAGAAGUGAAUGUCACAUACAUUGUAAAAAGCUGCAACACUAUUGGAUGAACAAAAAAUUGAAAGACCAUUUGAAAGUGGCCUUUCAGAGGCCAUUGCUCUGGUUGCUGGAGCUAUACAUUUCCCAUAAAGCAAUUUAAUACUUAAUUUUUGGUUUGACUAUUAUAGACAGAAUUUUCUGCUUCAGCCCUUUAAUGAGUUCUAAGUAAAAUAAAGCUUCCUUAUUACUAAAAUUGAGAAGGUACUAGAAACAGGACUUGCACUGCUGCAACUGAAAGUUGCGAAUAAUAAAAUCUCAACCUAAUCAGAUAAUAUUUACCACAAUAUAAAUUGCUUUUCUCUAGAAUAAACGAUGAAAUCAUGUUUUAAGUAUACUACAUACGGGACCAGGCAAGGGCAGGAGUUAUUAUUCUGUCUUGUAUCAGAUUGAUCAUAAAGGUAUUGCUAUAUUAUAAUGUCACUAUAAUAUACAAAUGCUGGUCAGAUGUGCAUUUUAAAAUGAUGCCAUGUUGCUCUUCUAAACAAUUUCCAAAAUUAUAAAUUAUUUACAUAAAGAUGAGUCAUUGAUGAUCUUACUUUUUUAUUUUAGACUGUAAAUUCAUGUUUACAAACCCAAGAGAUGUACACUCAUUCAUUUAAUAUGUCUGACUACAUUAUUUUAGAAUUGUCUGUGAUAUUAUUACAGGCAAUUUAACUCAGGGUAUUAAUUUAAUUUUUAAUGAAAACUAGCAUUGUGACCUUAUUCUAGGGAAAAGGAUGGGUAAGAAGCAGAAGCUGUUGGAAACAGCUGCAUUUUGUAAUAAAUUUGUUGCUGUAAUUAGAUUUAUUUAUAUUUUUCUAUAAUUUGUUUUUCUAUAUUUUUUGUUUAAUUUUUUCUUUAUUUUCUGAAAAAAAAUAUUACAGGUGGUAGAAAACAAACCAAAACACAGAAGAUUUGGGAUCAUUUAAGUGAACUAUCAGGUAGAAAAUGCCGUUUAAUAUAGAAAAAUGUUAAACAAUUCAUCUGGGAGGAAGGAAUCAGUGUAAGGGAUCUGUAUUAAAAAUGCAGUCAUUCAGCAUACUGAUUAGGAAAGAGAUGAAAUAGUUAUAGAGAAAUAACUGCAAACAUGAAUUCCAGUGCAUUGUAGCAUUAAGAAUUUUGAACAAUAUACUGGGGAAGAGAAAGCAACAUAGCUAUCAUAGAAGCUGGAUUGAAAUUUCAUUCAAAACAGGAUUUCAGUUUCUUGCAUUUUUUCCUUAGUGGAUGAAAAAAAAGAAAAAUAAUUGCUCAAAGCAGUUUUUCAUAUCAGUGAAAUAUUUCCUUUAACAUUUGCAUGGAAAUGUCUGUUUUUUCAGAAUCUACUCUCUCAAAAGGGACUGCUCUAUAUAGAAAAAAAAUGCGCCAAACCAGAAAUUCCAGCUAUACAGAUGUGUACAUCAUUUACAGAUGGAGGAGUAUUGAUGCUGCCUUAAGCUUAUACUCAUAUUAAACUGAAGUGCAAUGCAGGGAAUACUGCAUGUAGUGAUUAACUCCUUACAUCUGAACUACCGGAAUAGUCAAGAAAUAAUUUCUGGUUUUCAGUUCUUUCAGGCUGUUUUUCUGCCCAGCAUCUUCUUUACCGAGAUCACAGGUAAUCAGAAAAGCAGAGGGUGCCAAGUUAAACUCUUGGGUACGUUUGAAUGACGUGUUAGUCCUGUUAGCUGUUUCCAGAGUCAUGCUUUUAUCGAAGUGCUGCAGAAUAUGGUCAAGUGCUGUCCAGGUAUCCAUUUGCCCUGCUUCCUUAGAUUCUCAUAAUGCAAAAUUUUUUUUUUUCAUGUUUCUGCAUCAUCUGUACCUAUGCUUCUCCAAUAUUCUCGUUUAAAAGCCUUUUGUGCUGUCUCACUUUUUUUUUCUGUUGGACUAGAAAACUGGAUUGUGCUGCAUUAGCAUGGGGCAGCGUGUGCAUGUCUGCCUCUGUUUGUCCAGCCUGUGUGCAACCCUGCCAGGGGCAAGGCAGGACCACAGCACUGCUAGGCACUUCUCUCCCGGGACAAUGGCCCAUUGUCAUGCCAGCUUAAGAGCUGCUCUACUGUCUGCCCAGCCCAUGAGAGGUCAGCGGCUGGGGAGAUGAGUGUGUGUGUCAGCUACUCCUGUUCACAGUGAAGUAUUUUAACAUCCUAAUUUACACGGACAAUUUAAUUAGAGAGGGACUGGACAUCCAUGCCUUCCUGACAGCAUUGCAAGAAAGACAUGAUGCCCAAAAGAUAGGUAAGAAUCAGCAGGAAUAUAUUUUGUCGAAGCAUGAUGUCAUAGGUGUUUUAAUGCAUCACUGCACAAGAACAGGAGGUUACCUGGCAGCUGUGGUGGGUGUGGGAAUACUGCUGAAUGUAUUCUGCCAAAACAACUGACACAACCGUUCAGACACAUUCAGAAGGAUCACAUUUCAGCAGAGUUGUAUGGUGUGGUCCAUGCAUGUAUCAGAAUCUCUAUACCUAUAAUCUCUGUACUCUUAUACCACUGCCAUUUAGUCUUUGAAAUGGCAAAAAUUUCCAUCAGAGGGAUGCUACGUGCCACCUAUCACAUCAGCAUCCUGCACAGCUAGAUUGGAGCAGGUGACCACAGAGCCUGGCUUUAUUUUCAAAUACAUGCUUAUUUAUGCAAAUAUAUGCUUAUGAAGAACAGGGAGAAGAAAAAUAUUAUCGGUUUAAAAAAAAAAAGUCUCUGCAGAGAUCCUCACUCAAUACCCUUUGCCUGACUUCGUGUAGGGGCCAGAGACCAGCAGAUGGCAAUCUCCUCCUGUCUCAGGAAGAGCAAUGUUUUACUGCGGGGCCCUUGUACGCAUCUUCCCAGUGCUUAUUGCAGUUUACUUGAAGGGCAAAAAGACCUGGAAAACGUAGGCAGCCUUUGUUAGGCACAGAAUGUCAUAAUAUGGCAAAGCAAAAGUGAAUUUCUACUUUAUGCAAAUCCUAGCUUCUGGUAUCUGAGAAAGAAAAAGCAAGCUAACCUAAUAGAAUGAAUUUGUAUUAGUAUUUUUCAUUUUGAAAUACAGGACACAGGGCUAUUUUACAGCAUCAUGCUAUUCCUCCUGUGCGCUGCUAAUCUUUUAAUGCGCACUUUAGAAAAAAAGAAAAUUGUUGAUUUCCCUGUACCCUACAUUUCCCUUUCCCCGUCAGUGUUUAAAAUGGGAAGAAAUAAUGUGAUCCUCAGCUGACUUAAAAAGGAGUCAAGGAACAAAAGAAAAGCAUUUUUCUUCCUAUAGUGACAAAUUUGCCAUGCUAGAGUAAUGUGUCCAAGCAGCAGUGUGAGUCUAGUUUAGCAUUUGAAUUGGAAAAUGGAUGGUAUUACAGGUAUUGCUGUGUAAUUUUUAUACACAUUUUUUAUUGUGGAGAAGAAGAUUAAUGCUGCUAAUUUCAGUCAUGUGAAACUCUGAGCUGAUAAAGGAAUGAUAUUUUUUGAAAAAGCAAUAUUCCUAUUUUCCUUUUGAAAAAGGAAUAUUCCUGUCUGGUGCUGGAAAUAAUUUUGUCAGCAAUCUCCCCAUAGUGCUUUAAAUGACUAUGCAUUAUUUCAUGAAGUAUCAUACUGCAAACAUUUGAUCAUCCAUAACAUAAUGAUGGAAUGAUGGAAAAGAAGACUAAAUUAAUAUUUUGGAUAGUCUGACACUGAUAAUAAUAUGAGAAAGCAUCUCUGUGAAUGUAGGAUUUUCUGUACUAUCCUUCAAUGUAAUUCUUGAUAUGCUGUCCAUCUGGUACCCUCUACAGUAGAUUGCAGUCUUGAUUUGUUACAUAUUACUACUUAGCCGAGUGGCAUGGGCAUCCCUUUAUGAACAGUGUUCAUAAGAGAGCAAAAAGUAGCCUGUGUCAGUGCCUUUAGGACAGGAUGGAGGGGCAAAUACUAUAUUAACUGUGCAAAGACUGGGAGGAAAGCAAUGCUUUCACUGCUGAGCAGGAGACCUGAAAGCACUGUGAUCAUGCAUGUCAGCAUAGCUGAGGUAAGGGGAGCUGGUUUAAAGUGAAUAUUACAGCCAGGGCUGAUUCUUGUGCUUUGUUUUACUUUAUGGAAGGGAUUUUCAUCGGACUAUGUUAAUACUGUAUGAGCUGUAAAACGUUAUGAAAAGCACUCUCUAUAACCAGACACUCCACCAUGUACAGCUUACUCCAGCUUACAGGUCCUCCUGCAUUUUACAGGCAGUCAACAUUUCUUUAUAUAAGAAAACCAGAUAGGGAGGAACCCAAAAUGCUUGUAGCAACAUUGUGUUUUGAGCAAAACGUAGACUGAUGGACAUGCCAUAACAGAAGAUAAAAACUGGCUUAUAUUAAAAUGGGUGAAAAGAAAAGAAAUCGGUUGGUUCAGUGGAUAGAAGGAAUUGAUUUAUGAGGAAAAUUUAUAGAACAUUAAAUUUUCUAAAUGACAAGGGAUAAAAGUGGUUGAGUACAUGCAAAUAUAGUUCUGAAAAUAUAGGCUCAUUAGCACAACAAAUAUUGCUGGAAUUAUUUUUCAUGAUGAAAAGAACAUCUCUUGUGAUUAUAUUAAAUAGGAAAACAGAAAUUAAAAUUGCCUUUUAUGCAAAAACCUUUAUGUUGUAAGCCAUCUUCCAAAGGAAAUAAUACACUUCCACUGCUUGAAACAGCUAAAUGUUCAUUGUAUAAUAUAAGAUGGGAAUAUAUAAGCCUUUUUCAUCUCCAUCUUGUGUGCUUAAAUGACAAAAAAAAGCUACUUACAAUUUCUUCUAAUCCAGAGUGAGCUGAAUGUUUGGUUACACUACGGUACUAUGGUGGCAGAGUGAGAGAAUUAUUUUCAGUACCUACAGUCAAAAUUUGUCAUGAUACCUACAUUUGGUACCUCAGUAACACGUGUCCUCUGUGGAGAACAGGGAUAUGUCCUUUUAAAGGUGAUUAAAGGUGCACAAUUAAAGCAACAGCUAGGCUUAAUUUAAAUGUUCUCAAUCACUCUUCAGAAAGACCAGUUUUUUUUUUCCAUUUCCCUACUGUUUAGAUGAGGAACCUGCACUCCUUUGAAGCCUACCCUAGAGUCUUAAAAUUAUAGGUAGCACCUCACUAUGUAUCUGGUUAUAUGUAUGUGCUUUUGAAUCAUUUGACUGCUUUUCCAGGGACAGUCAUGUACUUUUGUUUUAUUUAAAAUCAGUAAACAAGGCUACAAUUCAAAAUUCUCCUUUUCCUCAGCAUUUGGGGAGAUUUUACACCAUGCUGUGUUCAUGUAAAUGACUACAGAAAAUGCAAAUACUAAAAAGAAAAAAAGUUGGCUUAUUUUUCUUGACAACUGUGAAUUCUUUUAAAGCUGUGAUUGGUGUUCUUUUUUUUUAUCCUAAGCAGGGACUGAGAAAUCUGAGGCUACCAUACUGUUUUUUAGGGCUGUCACUGGACUUAACUGUUACAUGGGUUUUCAUCAGCCUUUUUCAAACAUUUCUGGAAUGCUGCUUAAAAUGAAGCUUCUGAUUUCUGACAAAGAACGAGGAACGGCAGCACACGUCUUUCUGGUGCCUUAAUGACUUUUGGAUUGCAGUUCACAGCGAUGAAACUAGUUCAAUCCAGCAGGAUUUAACUAGUCUAAGGAUAGUUUCAUUCCUUCAGUCCUGCCACAUAUGUUGUGACAUAAAUGUUACCAGAGGACUUUUGGGAGGAUUUAAUUUCUAGAACAUUAGGCCCAGAAUAAAGUGCUUCCAUUGCCAUUGACAUUUCCAGAACAACUCUCAGAACCUCAGUCCCUCUUGGUUUUAUAUCAAACCUACAGUUUUAUGGGACUGCCAUUCAGGUAAGGAUAUUCUGGUGAAGCAAAAUAAACUAACUUGUUAUCUGGCAUUGUUUUACUGAAGAAUUUUUUAAUCUUAAAUAUACACUUAAAUGAGAAUGGAAGGAUUUUUAUAAAGCGGAGGAAACAAAAUAUUUACUAUGAAAAUUCAACAGUGUUGGACUUUUGUGCCCGAAGUUUAACACUUGUUUGUACUUUUUGUUUUUGCAGUAGGAAAUAAUUUUGAUUUUUGUUUUGUUUUGUUUUCUUGGUGUUACUUGAAUUUCUUUCCAGUAAACUAGUGUAACCCAUGGUGGUGCUACCAGUGAGAAUCAAACUCUCAGAAACCAUGAUGUUAUGCUUGAAAUCUCUUUUCAUGGGGAAAGAGAAAAUGUACCUGAAGUACACAUAUGCACAGGUAUCUAAAAAGCCAAAAAGUCUUUAGGUAAGUGAAAUUUAAGAAUUGAAUAAUAGUUAGUCCAGAUGAAGCCAUUACAAUAAAAGCAGGGAUAAUAAGGUAGUUAAAAUUGUAUACAUGCACUUUCUAUCCUGUUCCUGAUGUCAUACUCACCUUUCCGCUGCUCCUCUGGUCCUAAUGUCAGUGUUUUUAUUCUAGUAAGGAGGUUAACAAUGAGUUGUCAGCACUUGAAGUCCAUCACUGAGGUGUGAUGUUCAUGAUAAUGAUUUCUUCUUCACUCAAGGAUGCAGUUGUAUCUUUUUAGAUUUUAACCAACAUGCUUGUACAUCUUGGUUCUUUGUUCGUCUGCAGAUCCAUGCUAAUCACAAUUUACCACACUUGGUACUUUUUAUGUAUUUUAUAUAGUAUUUCUUUGUAUUCUGAGCUGCUACUAAGCUUAGUUUUGGCCAUCUCUAGGUCUGCAUUUCUUUAAUGGAGUACUGAGGAAUUGUUUACAGCUGUGCAACCUCCAGAGCCAAUCUGUGCCCCUUCUUUUUUCGUCCCAUUCUCCUCCAUAUCACAUUCUUUGUCUUUGCCUCUUAAGACCUCUGCAUGGCAGGCUUGUAUUUCCUAUGUUACAUUAUUAUGCUGGGUUUGUAAAGCUAUGGUGAUAUCACACAAAAAUCAAAAAAAAAAAGAAACAAAUUAGCUAUAGCGAACAGAUAAUUAAAAAUACUGGUAAAGCAACUGUCUUGGAGCAACCCCAGAUGACAGCUAAAUACCUUGUAUCUGCUUGCUUCCUACUCCUUUUCCCACAACUCACAUAAAACCCAUGGGUUGAAGUAAGAAUAAUUUAAUUAUUGAAAUAUAUAUUAAUAGACAUCUGAAAUAAAGUAAAAUAUGAUAGUAAAAAUGAUAAUGAAAAGAAGAGGAAGAGAGAGGAGUAAAAGUCAAGAAAAAGUAAUGCACAAUACAAUUGCUCACCAUCCACUGACCAAUGCUGGCCCUGUCCCAAAGCAGUGAUCAGCACUUGGCCAGUUUUCCCCAGUUUAUAUGGUGGGCUUAGUCUGUGGAGUGGAACAUCCCUUUAGCCAGUUUGGGUUGAGCUGUCCUGGUGAUGGCCCCUCCCAGCUUCUUGUUGCACCUCCUCAACUGACAGAGCAUGGGAAACUGAAAAAUCCUUGACUUUAGGCAAGCAUUGCCUAACAACUAAAACAUCAGUUUUAGUUGAAUCUGAAUCCAAAUAACAGCAUUGUAUCAGAUGCUAAGAAGAAAUUACCUCUACCCCCAGUGAAACCAGGACACCAAAUAAAACAAAACCUGCAGAUAGGUCAGUAAAGCUUGGACAGAAUAAGCCUGGCAAACUUCUGUCCUGAGGGAGUGCAAAUUCAGUACAAAUCUUAUGGCUUGCUACUGGCAGUGACACUGGUGUAUUCCAGAGCUAUAUGGCUGUAGGAGAACAGGUGGCACUGAGCAGAUUUCCUGCACUGAUAUUCCCUAAUGUUGAGGCUGUAAUCUUUUGUAUUUGAUUAGUUUAAGCCAGCUUUCUGACAAACGACUUCACAGCUGAUGACCUGAUACAGUCAGAACUUAAAUAAUACAGGAAAAAAUGUUGUGGCAGAAAGACAAUGAUAAAAGACGUCUCCACAGAGAGUGUUCUCGCUUUAUGUGAAAACCGGGUGUUUUCCUCUUCAGUCAUGCCAAAGCAGGUGUAGAAGUCAUCUAUGUUUACUCAAUCACAAGGGCAAAUUUUAAAAUGAAAGAUGAAACCUUCCACUUAAGGGAAAUAAAGUUCAGGUGCAGUACUCAGUAAUUCUCUGCAUUUAAGUUACACUGAAUAUUUGCAGCUAUUGGGACAAAGGAAACACUUAUUUUGAUUUACGAUCACUUUGAUUUUUAAUAUGUGUGUCAAAAUCUGAUCCUCAUGAUCAGCUUACUUGCUUUCAGCCCAAGACCUCUGGAGAAAGAUAACAAAGUAAUAUGUCACCUUCACACUUUGUUAAAAAAUGUUGGAAUGGAAAAUAAAGAAGGGACAGUCAGGGCUCUAUUAGCGAAGAUCUUAUCUAUGUUGGAGCAGAGAUGCCUUUAUUCUGAUGCUUGCUCCUAACACAUAUCUUUUGUUACAUAGGAAUUGUACCUUGAGACCUUAGUUUUUAUUCUUCCACCACUGACCACUAGGCUAAAUGUUACAUUGCAGAAACACAUUUGUCUUCCUCUUGUUUCUAUCCAUCACCAUGAUACAAGAAAUCUUUAUGUAUUUUUUGGCACAGUGUCAGUCAGGAGGGAUAAGGGGAUGGUCAGUCUUUUUUGUAAAAGUGAACUCUAUAACCUAGGGACAGCCUUCCCAUGGAAAGGAGAAAUGUGGCUGUAAGAUAUUUUCCCCAGGGCUCAAGGGAGCAGUGGAGUAAUUUUCCCCCUUACUAAACAAGCACUCUACCAUAUUAUUGUUUUGUAAAGGUUGACAUAAUAUCCAGAUAAGUUUUAAACAAAAUCCCAAAUAAACAUUAUUUGUGUCUGGUGUUAGUAUUUUUUAAGAAAGCUCUUGGAACAUGUACAAGGUGAGACCUUUCAUAGAGUUUAGUUGAAUGAAACCUAGUUACUGACCUGUAAGUUGACUUACAUCUGCUGGUCAAAUUAUAGCAAUUUUGUUCCCAGCUAAAAAUCCAAAAUAACAUGUUUUGCAAAAAUGAACAGUUUUUAAAAAAGACUGAAGUCUUAAAGUGGACUGAGUUUGCAGAGUAAAGUAUUAUAUCCCACUAUGGAAAGCACCUAUUAAUCUUAAAGAUUGUUAUCAUCGUGCAAUACAAAAUCAGGCAGACAUUCCAAGCAGCCAGGCAAAUGCAAAAUAUCAGAUUAGAUGCUUUCUAGCCACUUUUAUUCCCUGUUAUGGAGAGAGUUACAUGAAGAAAGGGAAAGAAUUACAGUAAAAAAGUCCGUUCUAGCAGAAAAAGGCUACAGUGUGUCCCACUGCAUUGCAGGUUACCCAAAGGGAAGAUCAUGCAACUUCCUUGGGCAAAAAAUCACCUACUAAGCUCUUUUGUUGAGAGGAAAGGGUAGUAGCUGUUGAUUCAGGCAACGUGGGAAAGGGCAAAUGCAGACUGAACAUCAAGCUAAGAAGAAACUGUGAAUUGUAGAGAAUGUUUUAUAGGAACCAUGAAAACUAGCCUUUAAAAAGCACCUUGAGAAACAUGAGAUUAUCCUGCUCAAAAUGAGAGAAUGUGAUGUCUUUAUUUCCUUUGCUUUGCAUAUGAAAUGCUCAAUCAAUAAAUAAUAAGUCUUCUUCUUUUAUUCCAGGAAAUGUACUUAUCUUCCUCUUGUUGAAAGAUAAAAAUAGCUAAAUAAUAAUGUAGUAUAAAAGCUGUUUUUUUGUAAUUAAAACUAACAAGAUGGUUGCCUUGUACUUCAGAUGAGAUUGUAAGACUGAGAGAAUAACAUGACAAAGGUAUCCAACAAUUGAAGUCUGGGCAGUUAUAUUUUACACUACACUGGUACUUCUGAGCAUGAAGGAAGUAUAAUUGUGUAUUAUAGUGCAACAACUACAUUAAGUGUUGGAGUUCUUUUCCAUAGCUCUUAAAUUCACUCUUCUCUUUCAGAAAACUACUUAGUGUUAAGACAAGUUAGGCUGUGUUUCUCUGGCUGAUUUGAAGAGGGAUAUGUACCUAAGACUGGGAUUAUCACAUGCCUUCCCUUUGGGUUACAAGUAUGGAAGAAAAGAACAAAGAAUUGUUGAAGUGUCUUUGGAAGAAUGCCAGGUUCUCUACUGUUCUUCUUAGCAUAUGCCUGUUACUCCUUUCCAUCUAAUUGCUAAAUUUCCUAACCAGGAUUUCAGCACUUUCCUCAGAAGAUUGUAUUAGAGUCUAAUGGAUCAGAAAGUAUUUUCUAAUAUACAUCUAAAAUUAUCUUUUUCUCAAGGUAAGCUAUUACUUCUUUAGGCAGUUAUAGUCUGUUGUGAUUCUUGAAAUAAUUCCUUUCCUUCCUCUCUGCCUGUAUCCACCUACAAUAUGUAGGUGAUCACUUAGCAAAAUUAUAGGAUUAUAUAUUUUUAUUCACACCUCAUAAAUCAGUUUAUUCCAUUACCUAACAGUAGUAUUUUGUCUUUUCUGAGCUAAUUUUGCAUAGUAGUAAUGUUGUCACAGUGCUGAAGAUAGACUGAAGUUCUAAUCAAGGCUGAAAAAAACCCUUGCCACCUGUAAAUUCUGAUAUACAUCGGCAAUUUUCGCCAUCCAUUUUCAAUCUGUGUAUUUUAUUCUGCAGCUGACUUCGUUCUCCCUGUUCACAUUUGAAACUUCCUUUUAUCACUGAUGUUUUCUUCACAAUGAAAUUCGUUUUAGUCCAGUUUCACCAAGGUGCUAGCUCAUGUGUCUCUGAGCUCAGUCUUUAUUUUCAGUCUAUGUCAUGAAAGCAUGUUCAGAGGUAAUUUGGCAUAGAUCUAAGUGAGCAUGUCUCUGAAAUCACUGUAGGCUGCCAUGCUAAUGAGCAAUCUAUACAGCAAGUAGAAGAAAGCUGUCUGGAAUGGAGGUGAGGAUGGUAACUCUGACUGGAAUGGCCUCCUGUGAAGGAAAUGAAAUCUCCCUGAUAGGCAAUAGUGAACGUGCACACCCAGAUAGACAUUGCCAUGGGUCAGUGUAGCACCUACAUUAUCUAGGGCGCUUAAGUAAGAACUCUCUUUCAGUACAAUUAGACAAAAUUUCAUUAGUUUUUAGUUCUGACCUUGUCUAAGUCACACCACUUUUAGUCAUACUGGCUAGUACUAGUUACCCCAUUAAGAAAGCCCUCAUGACCUGAGCUAGUCUUGGGUUUUUACUUCUCUUGUAAUAUUCUAUUUCUGGAUUGUAUGUGACAACUGGUUGAAAUUAUAAGCACAACCUGUAUUUUAAUUUUUUUCUCCAGAAAUUAUGAAUUUUUAAAUUAAUCAAUAGAAUAACUCACUAGAUAAGACAGUUGUGGGAAAGUCUCAUAGCAAAAUGAAACGAUUUUUCAAUUGUAACAAGGCUUAAUUAUUUUUUAAUGGAAAUAUUCUAUACAAAAUAAAUUGACAAAUAUUUUUUAAAGUGAAAUCCAGCAAUAUUUUAACAGCUCCUUCUGUCUUUUAAAAUACAAUUCUAACAUAUAUUUUCAAAAUAUUGCUAUAGAAUAAAAGGAAAAUGGGUACAAUGCUAAAUAAUUCUUUUUCUUCUGGUCAUCAUGGCUUGAUGGCUGGAAGUGACACCCUUGCUUUGACACAACUUUGCUCUGGUUUUUGUUUUUUACAGAAAUGUCCAUUCAUUGACUUCAAAAAUUGCUGUUACUCUUCUGCUUCUUAUUGAUUCCUAGUCCCUAUUUAAAUAUGUAUAGUUUUUCCUGUUCCAAAACUACCACAUGAGAUUUUGAUUCUUUGAGGAGACUAUUAUUUCUGGGCAAGAAAUACAUGGUACAGAGAGACAAACCAUCCUUAGUUUACUCUUUUUCGUAAAGGUGAAACUGCUGAGUAAAACAAGCACUGGGCAAUAAUACCUUAUUUGUGUAAUACCUUAUCUAUGAUAAUUUAUAGGUGAGGAUCUUGUUGUAUUCUACAGUGCUCACAUUUUAUGAGGGAAUACUGACAGCCUUACUCUAAAAUAUAUAUGGAGAUAAAAUAAAAAUUAUAUGGACUUAGGCUACCUUAUAACAAUAUGUUUCUAGCUCUACUUUAUGGCUUUAGGUAAAAAAAAAAACCCUAAAAACUUAAAAAAUCCUAAACAAUCUAUACCUGUACAAAAUCUUGGCUUUGUGGUUUAUGACCCGUAGCAAAAAAAAUUCUCUCCUCUUUUAGUGGAAUUAAAUUACAAAGGUGAAUUUUGAAACCUUCAUUACUAUGUUACUUUCACUGUAAAAAGCACAAAAGAAUGAAAGUUUUAGUAAAGUUGGCCUAUUUGGAGCAUUUUAACUUUCUGCAGCUGGCAGGAUUUGAUUUUGUCUUGAUUUUCAAGAUCUUUUUCUAGUACUGUCUUAUAUGCAUCUAUUUGUGCUAUGCAAGUGUACUCACUAACUUUGUGCAUGUAACUGAUAAUCAGUUUUUACAACCUCUGUCAUAACACAGAAGCCUGAAGAAAUAGCUUUCCUAUGAAACAAAUGAAAAAUCACAGAAGUUUAUAAAUUAAUUUAUUGUCAUUACAUUUAUAUCACUUCAGUAUUAUAAAAAUAUAUUUUGUUAAUUUUUCAUAUGCACCAGUGAUGUUGUUGCUAAUUUUAUUUUUAAUUAUAAAAAAGCUUUGUAUCUUCUGUAAUUUCCUCUAAAAAAACUCAAAGUGUCUUCAUAGGACAUCUUAUUAAACUAUUUGCUAUUAAUGAAUUAGGUCCUUAAAAUCAAAUGCUAACACUUCUUACAAUAGAAUAUAAGAGCAUACCAUCCUGCUAAGCAUGUGUUUUAGAUUAAAUUUAUGUUUAACUCAUCAUAGGCAUCUGAGAAGUUGCAUUUCUUGUCAUACUGAAAUUUACUGCAAUUAGUAAACGUUCCUAAUUGCUUAUCUGUCUACUGUUAGAAGUAAACAUGUUCACAAAAAGGCCAUGAUAUUAAUAAAAAAAAAUUCUUAUUAAAAAACAUUUACAUGAGCAGUAGAGAAAUGGUAUGCCUGUAAGAAAAGUGUCUAAAAAUAUCUAUUCCAAUUUUCAAGUACAGUUUCUAUACAAAAGUUCAAGUUUUUUUGUCAUAUAUUGCUGUCUGAAAUCUAGAAAACCUUCCUGAAAAAAAUAAUAUUGUACUUGA